GUAUGAAAGGCUUAGUGGACAUGGCAUCUGCCCGGUAAGCGGAACACUGUGGGUUCGAUUCCCAUCCCUGGACA
Cordylochernes scorpioides is the source of this 74-nucleotide non-coding RNA. NCBI's taxonomy places the organism in Eukaryota, Metazoa, Arthropoda, Arachnida, Pseudoscorpiones, Chernetidae. The record is from the annotation of a GenBank genome assembly.